UGUUUUGCAUCAGUGCUUCGUGACAUCAGCUGUAUUGAGUGUUUUCGCCGACGGCUUACUACCACAAUGGCGGGAUCUGCGUUCACCGCCUUCGUGUCUCGGUGCGUCUUUGUACGUCGCACGUUCGGAUAACACUUUUUCCGACGGCUGGACAUCCUUCUUGUACCUUGGCGCUAGCUGGAUGACGGGACCUCAUCAUGAUCAGUGUAUUGCUUGCCUAUGUCUACAAGAACCGUCACGCGUGGCCUGUGACAGCAAGCUUUUGUGGGCAGCAAGUGCUCUCCUACGAAGGCUGGCCUACUCUGGCAGCGGCGGCAAUCAUCUUCAAGAUUUAUCCAUGAUCACCUUUGCUGCUAUUUGUCACUCUUGUUAAUUGCACUUUCUGCAUCUUUUCUAAUUUAUUAGGUAAUAAAGUAUGAGUAUGUGACAUGGUGUGAAGUAGAUGUCUUGCUGCAUUU
Molecule: long non-coding RNA, 458 nt
Filed under: Dermacentor andersoni
Lineage: Eukaryota; Metazoa; Arthropoda; Arachnida; Ixodida; Ixodidae
Description: uncharacterized LOC126534412
Source: RNAcentral